UGGCAUUUAUCUUACUCGAGUUCACCUUCAAUGUCACUUAUUCGUGAAAAAUGCAUGUGAAAACCGGUAACUCCUCGGAGCUUCCUGUAAUACGCCGUUCUUAUUCUUUCAGGAAACUGCGGAGGGAGAAAGACAGGCUGUGUCGAUUUACAUUCCAAAGGCUGUACACGGAGCAGUGCCAGCCCGCCUACAACCUGUCUGACAUCGCAUCCGUUUGGGACAAUUACCAGGGGUACUCCUCCUGGGGCAACGAUGACUCGGUUCUAUCCGAUUAUGAUCAAGGCCUGGCAAACUUUAUCAGCUAUCGUCAACGAUACUUGCAGCCAACAACACGACACUCUUGAAUUCAAGUUUGGGGAACAGCUCUGUGGAGGAGAUCACUCUCACCCCAGUGCUUCCUCCAUUCGCGCUGUGGCAAAGUAUUCUCAUCGCGCUGGUAAUUGGUAUCUGCAUUGUCUUAACCGUCGGCGGUAAUAUUCUCGUGCUGUUAGCCUUCAUGGUAGAUAGGUCGAUUCGGCAACCCAGCAACUACUUCAUCGCUUCAUUGGCGGCCACCGAUAUUUCAUAGGUAAUGUAUAUCAUAGAUGUGAAUCCGAUGGCUCUGAAUUAGAUGAUGUUUUAGAAAUCCCUGGGAUUUGAAAGGGGACUUGAACUAUUUUCACCCCGUGAGUGUAGGGUGCGGUCGAAAAAUGAAUGGGGUUUGCUCCAGUGACUCGAGUAGAGAGUUCGUGAAUCAGUUUUCUACUUCGAGGUAGUGCUUGGUUCACAGGAUUCAUCAGGAAACGCUUUUGUUCUAUUAUAAGAGAAGUCGAUUAAAAUUAAUCAAUUCAAACGGAAUGAUUGCUUAUAGGCGGGCCGUACGAGUGCGAUAGGUACAACAGCACAUCAAUACAGCGUUAAAUUUUGGCGAGAAGCAUUUGCAAUUUCAUUGAUUUUUUUUUACAAUUUCAUACCCAUUGCUCGUCGGCUAGAUGGACGUAUAUCGUUCCAGAUACACUUUUCGCCUUCAUCAUCCUUCCGUUUGCUUUGUAAUGCAGUUUGAUUAAAUUACUUUUAAAUAAAAAGUCUUGUUGGGAAAUUGUAGCAGAUGCAGAAGAUGAAAAACGUCGUUUAGUCUUCACACGUUGCUAAAUUUGCUUUGAUAAAAUAUGAAUUUUCAGGAAAAUCUGCGAAUAUGUUUCUUCCACUUUUUCAAAGACUUUCAUUCGCGGUCAGGUCUACAUUUUGUGAAAAUUUCAAGAGAAAAUAUUCUUAACUCUCCUCAAAAAUAAACAUUUCACCUGUGGAUGUUUGGCAUCUUGAAUGUUCAUACGGUGUUUUUCCUGAGCACGGUAGUACAGAAACGUAGUCGUGUUACGUAAAGUCACAUCGGGUAAAUUUUGGUGUAAGCCUCAAAACCCUUUCGGCUCACACGAUAUCUUAUUCUUGUAAAAAACACUAACUACAGAAGUUUUCAUGGCCGAAGUUGCAAAGACACCGCAUUAAAAUAACGAUUAU
RNAcentral lists this long non-coding RNA (1497 nucleotides) under Bemisia tabaci. Its description in RNAcentral is "lncRNA ENSSSA1NGG011204". Lineage: Eukaryota; Metazoa; Arthropoda; Insecta; Hemiptera; Aleyrodidae. The record is from RNAcentral.